Molecule: microRNA precursor, 109 nt
Filed under: Nannospalax galili (Upper Galilee mountains blind mole rat)
Lineage: Eukaryota; Metazoa; Chordata; Mammalia; Rodentia; Spalacidae
Description: miRNA (ENSNGAG00000003579.1)
Rfam family: mir-24 microRNA precursor family (bases 18-87)
About the family: This family represents the microRNA (miRNA) mir-24 family. miRNAs are transcribed as ~70nt precursors (modelled here) and subsequently processed by the Dicer enzyme to give a ~22nt product.
Source: RNAcentral
GCUUCUCCCCGGGCUCUGCCUCCUGUGCCUACUGAGCUGAAACACAGUUGGUUUUAGUGCACUGGCUCAGUUCAGCAGGAACAGGAGUCCAGCCCCUUGGGAGCCGGCA